Molecule: ribosomal RNA, 440 nt
Filed under: uncultured bacterium
Lineage: Bacteria
Description: partial 16S ribosomal RNA
Rfam family: Bacterial small subunit ribosomal RNA
Source: RNAcentral
CCUACGGGAGGCAGCAGUGGGGAAUAUUGCACAAUGGGGGAAACCCUGAUGCAGCCACGCCGCGUGAGUGAAGAAGUAUUUCGGUGUGUAAAGCUCUAUCAGCAGGGAAGCAGAUGCCGGUACCUGAAUAAGAAGCCCCGGCUCACUACGUGCCAGCAGCCGCGGUAAUACGUAGGGGGCAAGGGUUAUCCGGAUUUAGUGGGGGUAAAGGGAGCGCAGACGGCAGUGCAAGUCUGGAGGGAAACCCCGGGGCCCAACCCCGGAACUGCCCUGGAAACUGGGCGGCUAGAGUACUGGAGGGGCAGGCGGAAUGCCUAGUGUAGCGGUGAAAUGCGUAGAUAUUAGGAGGAACACCAGUGGCGAAGGCGGCCUGCUGGACAGUAACUGACGUUGAGGCUCGAAAGCGUGGGGAGCAAACAGGAUUAGAUACCCUGGUAGUC